AACCUAGCACACCUGCGGUGUGUACCUGCGGAGGGAUCAUUACCUAGAGUUGUAGGCUUUGCCUGCUAUCUCUUACCCAUGUCUUUUGAGUACCUUACGUUUCCUCGGUGGGUUCGCCCGCCGGUUGGACAAAACUUAAACCCUUUGUAGUUGCAAUCAGCGUCUGAAAAAACUUAACAGUUACAACUUUCAACAACGGAUCU
This 203-nucleotide unclassified non-coding RNA is filed under the name soil metagenome. RNAcentral describes it as "partial contains 5.8S ribosomal RNA, internal transcribed spacer 2, and large subunit ribosomal RNA". The record is from RNAcentral.